GUACAGAGAAGCAGAGCUCAUCCACGGCCGGUGGGCGAUGGCCGCCGUCGUCGGCAUCUUCGUUGGCCAGGCAUGGAGCGGCAUCCCCUGGUUUGAAGCCGGAGCUGACCCGGGCGCCAUCGCCCCCUUCUCCUUCGGCUCCCUCCUCGGCACACAACUAAUCCUCAUGGGCUGGGUGGAGAGCAAGAGGUGGGUGGACUUCUUCAACCCCGAGUCCCAGUCUGUGGAAUGGGCCACUCCCUGGUCUCGCACUGCUGAAAACUUCGCUAAUGCCACCGGUGAGCAGGGAUAUCCGGGAGGCAAGUUCUUCGACCCAUUAGGGUUUGCGGGGACGUUGCAGAACGGGGUUUAUGUGCCGGACAACGAGAAGCUCGAGAGGCUGAAGUUGGCCGAGAUCAAACAUGCUCGCUUGGCUAUGGUUGCUAUGCUUAUCUUUUACUUUGAGGCUGGACAGGGGAAGACACCCCUUGGUGCCCUAGGUUUGUAAUUUAUGGGUCUCUGAAGAGCUUGUAAACAUUUUAGAUUUAAUGACGAUGGUAAUCUUUGUU
RNAcentral lists this unclassified non-coding RNA (548 nucleotides) under Hevea brasiliensis (rubber tree). The record is from RNAcentral. Lineage: Eukaryota; Viridiplantae; Streptophyta; Magnoliopsida; Malpighiales; Euphorbiaceae.